RNAcentral lists this ribosomal RNA (300 nucleotides) under uncultured bacterium. RNAcentral's name for it is "bacterial SSU rRNA". The stretch from base 52 to 300 matches the Rfam family "Bacterial small subunit ribosomal RNA", at positions 547 to 795 of the family's 1533-position model. The record is from RNAcentral.
GGGUAGGCGUGGCAGGGGGUGGCGGUAAGAAGGAGGGGGGAGUGGUGAGUCGGAUGUACUGGGAUUAAAGGGUGCGUAGGUGGGUUGGUAAGUCAGUGGUGAAAUCCCCGAGCUGAACUUGGGAACUGCCAUUGAUACUAUUAAUCUUGAAUACCGUGGAGGUCAGCGGAAUAUGUCAUGUAGCGGUGAAAUGCUUAGAUAUGACAUAGAACACCAAGUGCGAAGGCAGCUGGCUACGCGAAUAUUGACACUGAUGCACGAAAGCGUGGGGAUCAAACAGGAUUAGAUACCCUUGUAGUC